UUGCCCAAUGAUUAUAGCAAGACGCGUUAUUAUGAGGACUAAUGCUGGAACUCUUUCUCCUCCUUCUCCUUCUUUGCCCCUUCCUCUUUCACCUUACCCGUCACUUUCCUUAGGGUAUCCAGCGUCCUAUGAGCAAGACUGAGAUAUGAGGGCAA
This 155-nucleotide small nucleolar RNA is filed under the name Mesitornis unicolor (brown roatelo). Its description in RNAcentral is "Small nucleolar RNA SNORD97". It matches the Rfam family "Small nucleolar RNA SNORD97". The record is from Rfam by way of RNAcentral. Lineage: Eukaryota; Metazoa; Chordata; Aves; Mesitornithiformes; Mesitornithidae.